Molecule: ribosomal RNA, 497 nt
Filed under: uncultured bacterium
Lineage: Bacteria
Description: partial 16S ribosomal RNA
Rfam family: Bacterial small subunit ribosomal RNA
Source: RNAcentral
GAUGAACGCUGGCGGCGUGCCUAAUACAUGCAAGUAGAACGCUGAAGGAAGGAGCUUGCUCUUUCCGGAUGAGUUGCGAACGGGUGAGUAACGCGUAGGUAACCUGCCUGGUAGCGGGGGAUAACUAUUGGAAACGAUAGCUAAUACCGCAUAACAGUAGAUGUUGCAUGAUAUCUACUUAAAAGGUGCAAUUGCACCACUACCAGAUGGACCUGCGUUGUAUUAGCUAGUUGGUGAGGUAACGGCUCACCAAGGCGACGAUACAUAGCCGACCUGAGAGGGUGAUCGGCCACACUGGGACUGAGACACGGCCCAGACUCCUACGGGAGGCAGCAGUAGGGAAUCUUCGGCAAUGGGCGGAAGUCUGAACGAGCAACGCCGCGUGAGUGAAGAAGGGUUUCGGAUCGUAAAGCUCUGUUGUAAGAGAAGAACGAGUGUGAGAGUGGAAAGUUCACACUGUGACGGUAUCUUACCAGAAAGGGACGGCUAACUACGUG